CCAAGGCGCUUGAGAGAACUCGGGUGAAGGAACUAGGCAAAAUGGUACCGUAACUUCGGGAGAAGGUACGCCCCUGGUAUGUGAAGCGACUUGCUCGUGGAGCAGAAGGGGGUUGCAGUGACCAGAUGGCUGCGACUGUUUAGCAAAAACACAGCACUCUGCUAACACGAAAGUGGACGUAUAGGGUGUGACGCCUGCCCGGUGCCGGAAGGUUAAUUGAUGGGGUUAGCGUAAGCGAAGCUCUUGAUCGAAGCCCCGGUAAACGGCGGCCGUAACGAUAACGGUCCUAAGGUAGCGAAAUUCCUUGUCGGGUAAGUUCCGACCUGCACGAAUGGCGUAACGACUUCCCCGCUGUCUCCAGUGUAGACUCAGCGAAAUUGAAUUCUCCGUGAAGAUGCGGAGUUCCCGCGGUCAGACGGAAAGACCCCGUGCACCUUUACUACAGCUUGACAGUGGCAUUAGCGAUAAUUUGUGUAGGAUAGGUGGGAGGCUAUGAAACUUGGGCGCCAGCUCAGGUGGAGCCAACCUUGAAAUACCACCCUGGAAUGCUUGGAAAUCUAACCUAGGUCCGUUAUCCGGAUCGGAGACAGCGUAUGGUGGGUAGUUUGACUGGGGCGGUCUCCUCCCAAAGAGUAACGGAGGAGUGCGAAGGUGACCUCAGCGCGGUCGGAAAUCGCGCAAUGAGUGCAAAGGCAUAAGGUCGCUUAACUGCGAGACAGACACGUCGAGCAGGUGCGAAAGCAGGUCUUAGUGAUCCGGUGGUUCUGUAUGGAAGGGCCAUCGCUCAACGGAUAAAAGGUACUCCGGGGAUAACAGGCUGAUACCGCCCAAGAGUUCACAUCGACGGCGGUGUUUGGCACCUCGAUGUCGGCUCAUCACAUCCUGGGGCUGAAGUCGGUCCCAAGGGUAUGGCUGUUCGCCAUUUAAAGUGGUACGCGAGCUGGGUUUAGAACGUCGUGAGACAGUUCGGUCCCUAUCUGGUGUGGGCGUUGGAUGAUUGAUGGGAGCUGCUCCUAGUACGAGAGGACCGGAGUGGACGAACCGCUGGUGUUCGGGUUGUGAUGCCAAUCGCAUUGCCCGGUAGCUACGUUCGGAACGGAUAACCGCUGAAAGCAUCUAAGCGGGAAGCCGGCCCAGAGAUGAGUCAUCCCUGACAGUUUAACUGUCCUGAAGGGUUGUUUUAGACUAAGACGUUGAUAGGCAGGGUGUGGAAGCGUUGUAAGGCGUUAAGCUAACCUGUACUAAUUGCCCGA
This 1253-nucleotide ribosomal RNA is filed under the name Scrippsiella trochoidea. Its description in RNAcentral is "partial Bacterial large subunit ribosomal RNA". It matches the Rfam family "Bacterial large subunit ribosomal RNA", at positions 1681 to 2912 of the family's 2925-position model. The record is from RNAcentral. Lineage: Eukaryota; Dinophyceae; Peridiniales; Peridiniaceae.